AUGGAAAAAUAUAGCCAACAAGUAGAACUAUGCAUCGUCAUAGCCAUAGCAUGUGUGGACCCUGCUAUGGAGAAAAGACCUACAGCAAAGGAUAUAAUCCAAGUGCUUAGUGCAGCAGACUGGGUAUGGGUGUUGGCCUGCUGCGUACCCGUCUGGGUGUUGGCAAAAAAGGAAAGAAAAGAAAAAGAGGAUGAAAACAAAAAAAAGGCAGAAAAGAAGAACAAAAAAGGCAAAAAAAAACAUAGUAUAGCAAAGAAAACCAAGAAAGAAAUUAGAAAACCAAAGAGAGAGAAAAGAAAACAAAAAACAAGAUAA
This 315-nucleotide ribosomal RNA is filed under the name Triticum aestivum (bread wheat). RNAcentral describes it as "partial small subunit ribosomal RNA". The record is from RNAcentral. Lineage: Eukaryota; Viridiplantae; Streptophyta; Magnoliopsida; Poales; Poaceae.